This 253-nucleotide ribosomal RNA is filed under the name uncultured bacterium. RNAcentral describes it as "partial 16S ribosomal RNA". It matches the Rfam family "Bacterial small subunit ribosomal RNA", at positions 524 to 776 of the family's 1533-position model. The record is from RNAcentral.
UACGUAGGGGGCUAGCGUUGUCCGGAUUUAUUGGGCGUAAAGAGCGUGUAGGCGGCCAUGUAGGUCCGGUGUGAAAACUCGAGGCUUAACCUCGAGAUGUCAUCGGAAACCAUUUGGCUAGAGUCCGGAAGAGGAGAGUGGAAUUCCUGGUGUAGCGGUGAAAUGCGCAGAUAUCAGGAAGAACACCAAUGGCGAAAGCAGCUCUCUGGGACGGUACUGACGCUGAGACGCGAAAGCGUGGGGAGCAAACCGG